RNAcentral lists this transfer RNA (74 nucleotides) under Bacilli bacterium. RNAcentral's name for it is "tRNA-Gly". It matches the Rfam family "tRNA". From Rfam's summary of the family: Transfer RNA (tRNA) molecules are approximately 80 nucleotides in length. RNAcentral also lists the same sequence under 1 other name. The record is from RNAcentral. Lineage: Bacteria; Bacillati; Bacillota; Bacilli.
GCAGGCGUAGUUCAAUGGUAGAACAUUAGCCUUCCAAGCUAACUACGCGGGUUCGAUUCCCGUCGCCUGCUCCA